Long non-coding RNA from Bombus pyrosoma, 1037 nucleotides. RefSeq lists it as uncharacterized. The transcript is spliced from 2 exons. The record is from RefSeq and is a predicted model, not a curated record. Lineage: Eukaryota; Metazoa; Arthropoda; Insecta; Hymenoptera; Apidae.
GUUGUGACGAAAUUAAUGCAGUAUAAAACAUAUAAAAGUAGUUUUAUUUAUACUAUUAUUUGUUUUAUUAUAUUUAUGAAAUAUGGAUCUGUUGUGCGCACCCUCCCCCCACCAAUGGCUAUCGAACAUGCGCUUUGCUUUACAAUGUCUAUAAGUGCAGCAAGAUAAUAAACAACAGAGUCAAGCGAUAUAGAAACCGAUCCAAAUUCUUGACUGAAUUUUCUGAUUCCCAUAAAAAUAAACUAUACAUAAACACAUAGAAACGACAUCUUGCCGUAAAUUUUGAACAGCAUAAAGGGAUAAUGCAUAGAACUUUUAAGGAUGAUGUAGAAGCGUGAGUAUGUUUUCGUCCAAAGCCUACUAGAGGGCUCAUCAUCAGGCUUUACCUAGCAGGUUCACGCUUUAGACACCAGGAUAGGAUAAGAUUUCAGAAAUUGUAUUUGUAAAUGGUGCUUGUUGCCAGAGCAUGAAUGAGAGAGUACUUUUGUCAUCGAAUCAGCAACCAUCUGGUGGCAAAUUGGGGAGUCUCCCAACGAACUUAGAAUAAAGAUAUAGUAUGCGCACAACACACACACACACAGUCUAUCCAAUGAGACGAGACAGUAAACGUAAACAAAAUUUGAUUACGUAUAUAUGUACCUAUCUUUAAAAUUGAAAUAAAAAAGGUAAUGUAUGGAAAUAGUUGGUACAUAAAAUAUUCUAUUUGUGGUAAGAAAUAAGUUUUUUAGUAUAUAAAUAAAAAAUCUGAACAGAGACUCAAAGAACGAUCUUCUCCAAGUAUUUAGAAGUUAAAUAUCAAGUAAGAGACAGAAAUGACACUGAUAAUAUUUGCUUUAAUUCAGAUAGUAUUUAUUUGAUAGGUAUAUAAUACAUUGAAUUUGUCAGCACAAGUGAGAGAAAACACACUUCUCGGCGACUAAUACUUGCUUGCUCUUAUAUUCCUACACUACUGUAACCGAAUGUACUUUUCUUCUUGUCCAUGGAACGGAGUUUCUUUUUUCUCUUUUUUUUUUUUUCUUUAAUUAUCAACUUUUUAU